CGAACGCUGGCGGCGUGCUUAAUACAUGCAAGUCGAACGGAAAGGCCCUGCUUUUGUGGGGUGCUCGAGUGGCGAACGGGUGAGUAACACGUGAGUAACCUGCCCUUGACUUUGGGAUAACUUCAGGAAACUGGGGCUAAUACCGGAUAGGAGCUCCUGUUGCAUGGUGGGGGUUGGAAGGUUUCGGCGGUUGGGGAUGGACUCGCGGCUUAUCAGCUUGUUGGUGGGGUAGUGGCUUACCAAGGCUUUGACGGGUAGCCGGCCUGAGAGGGUGACCGGCCACAUUGGGACUGAGAUACGGCCCAGACUCCUACGGGAGGCAGCAGUGGGGAAUAUUGCACAAUGGGCGGAAGCCUGAUGCAGCAACGCCGCGUGCGGGAUGACGGCCUUCGGGUUGUAAACCGCUUUCGCCUGUGACGAAGCGUGAGUGACGGUAAUGGGUAAAGAAGCACCGGCUAACUACGUG
RNAcentral lists this ribosomal RNA (466 nucleotides) under uncultured bacterium. Its description in RNAcentral is "partial 16S ribosomal RNA". It matches the Rfam family "Bacterial small subunit ribosomal RNA", at positions 30 to 507 of the family's 1533-position model. The record is from RNAcentral.